This 229-nucleotide ribosomal RNA is filed under the name uncultured bacterium. RNAcentral's name for it is "partial 16S ribosomal RNA". It matches the Rfam family "Bacterial small subunit ribosomal RNA", at positions 568 to 796 of the family's 1533-position model. The record is from RNAcentral.
UCCGUAGGUGGAUUAUUAAGUCAGAGGUGAAAGUCUGCGGCUCAACCGUAGAAUUGCCUUUGAUACUGGUAAUCUUGAGUCAUUAUGAAGUGGUUAGAAUGUGUAGUGUAGCGGUGAAAUGCAUAGAUAUUACACAGAAUACCGAUUGCGAAGGCAGAUCACUAAUAAUGUACUGACACUGAUGGACGAAAGCGUGGGUAGCGAACAGGAUUAGAUACCCUGGUAGUCC